AUGAAGACAGACCCAAAGCAUUGGGCUAGGGCUUUCUUUCCAAUAGGAGCAAAUUGUGAGUCAGUUGACAACAACCUUUGUGAAUCAUUUAACAAUGCCAUCAUAGAAGCUAGGUUCUACCCCAUUAUUUCACAGCAAGAAAAGAUUAGGAAAAAAAUGAUGGUUAGAGUUCAAGAGCAGAAAACCAAGAGUGAGAAGUGGAAUGGCAUAAUUUGCCCAAACAUCUUCAAGAAGAUUAAGGCCAAUAUCAAGAGAACUCAGUUCUUGGAGGUGCUCUGGAAUGGAAAGGAUGGUUUUGAGGUGAAGCAUUUGAAUAGCAGAGGCAGGAGGUACACCGUUAACCUUGAGAAAUGGACUUGCUCAUGUGGUUACUUUCAGCUUGCAGGCCUUCCUUGUUGUCAUGCAAUUUGUGCUAUCUAUAAGAGUGGAAGAAAAGUAGAGGAUUUCAUUGACAAGUGCUACUACAUUGAUACUUUCAAAAAAAAUUAUGAGCAUUGCUUGCAACCAGUUGAAGGAGAAGAAAGCUGGCCUGUGUCUCAAAACCCUAGGCCAGUAGCACCUGGCUACAUUGCCAUGCCAGGAGCUAGGAAAAAGAACAAUGAUAGGAAGAGAGAAGAGGGGGAAGCACCCAAGGGGAAGAAACUGAGCAAGCAUGACAUACAGAUCACAUGUGGAAGUUGUGGUGGUCAGGGGCACAACAAAACUUCCUGUAAACAGAAUGGAGAUAACACAAAAAAACAAAGUCAUAUCUUGGGAAGAGAGGGAGAAAAGUGA
Molecule: ribosomal RNA, 774 nt
Filed under: Triticum aestivum (bread wheat)
Lineage: Eukaryota; Viridiplantae; Streptophyta; Magnoliopsida; Poales; Poaceae
Description: partial small subunit ribosomal RNA
Source: RNAcentral